CUGGAGGUAUCAGAAGUGCGAAUGCUGACAUAAGUAACGAUAAAGCGGGUGAAAAGCCCGCUCGCCGGAAGACCAAGGGUUCCUGUCCAACGUUAAUCGGGGCAGGGUGAGUCGACCCCUAAGGCGAGGCCGAAAGGCGUAGUCGAUGGGAAACGGGUUAAUAUUCCCGUACUUGGUGUUACUGCGAAGGGGGGACGGAGAAGGCUAUGUUGGCCGGGCGACGGUUGUCCCGGUUUAAGCGUGUAGGUGUGUGUUCCAGGUAAAUCCGGUUCACUUUAACACUGAGGCGUGACGACGAGGCACUACGGUGCUGAAGCAACAAAUGCCCUGCUUCCAGGAAAAGCCUCUAAGCAUCAGGUAACAUCAAAUCGUACCCCAAACCGACACAGGUGGUCAGGUAGAGAAUACCAAGGCGCUUGAGAGAACUCGGGUGAAGGAACUAGGCAAAAUGGUGCCGUAACUUCGGGAGAAGGCACGCUGACACGUAGGUGAAGUGAUUUACUCAUGGAGCUGAAGUCAGUCGAAGAUACCAGCUGGCUGCAACUGUUUAUUAAAAACACAGCACUGUGCAAACACGAAAGUGGACGUAUACGGUGUGACGCCUGCCCGGUGCCGGAAGGUUAAUUGAUGGGGUCAGCGCAAGCGAAGCUCCUGAUCGAAGCCCCGGUAAACGGCGGCCGUAACUAUAACGGUCCUAAGGUAGCGAAAUUCCUUGUCGGGUAAGUUCCGACCUGCACGAAUGGCGUAAUGAUGGCCAGGCUGUCUCCACCCGAGACUCAGUGAAAUUGAACUCGCUGUGAAGAUGCAGUGUACCCGCGGCAAGACGGAAAGACCCCGUGAACCUUUACUAUAGCUUGACACUGAACAUUGAGCCUUGAUGUGUAG
RNAcentral lists this ribosomal RNA (885 nucleotides) under Salmonella enterica. Its description in RNAcentral is "bacterial LSU rRNA". It matches the Rfam family "Bacterial large subunit ribosomal RNA", at positions 1273 to 2141 of the family's 2925-position model. The record is from RNAcentral. Lineage: Bacteria; Pseudomonadati; Pseudomonadota; Gammaproteobacteria; Enterobacterales; Enterobacteriaceae. RNAcentral also lists the same sequence under 17 other names.